Molecule: ribosomal RNA, 429 nt
Filed under: Chloroflexota bacterium
Lineage: Bacteria; Bacillati; Chloroflexota
Description: Chloroflexi bacterium partial 16S ribosomal RNA
Rfam family: Bacterial small subunit ribosomal RNA
Source: RNAcentral
UGGGGAUUAUUGCACAAUGGGCGCAAGACUGAUGCAGCCAUGCCGCGUGUAUGAAGAAGGCCUUUGGGUUGUAAAGUAUUUUCAGUCGGGAGGAAGGUGGUAAGGUUAAUAACCUUAUUAAUUGACGUUACCGACAGAAGAAGCACCGGCUACAUCCGUGCCAGCAGCCGCGGUAAUAGGGUGGGUGCAAGCGUUAAUCGGAAUUACUGGGCGUAAAGCGCACGCAGGCGGUUGAUUGAGUCAGAUGUGAAAUCCCCGGGCUUAACCCGGGAAUUGCAUCUGAUACUGGUCAGCUAGAGUCUUGUAGAGUGGGGUAGAAUGUCAUGUGUAGCGGUGAAAUGCGUAAGGAUGUGGGGGAAUGACGGUGGCGAAAGCGGCCCCCUGGACAAAGACUGACGCUCGGGUGCGAAAGCGUGGGUAGCAAACAGG